Molecule: ribosomal RNA, 253 nt
Filed under: uncultured bacterium
Lineage: Bacteria
Description: partial 16S ribosomal RNA
Rfam family: Bacterial small subunit ribosomal RNA
Source: RNAcentral
UACGUAGGGGGCAAGCGUUGUCCGGAAUCAUUGGGCGUAAAGAGCGUGUAGGCGGCCCGAUAAGUCCGCUGUGAAAGUCCAGGGCUCAACCCUGGGAUGCCGGUGGAUACUGUCGGGCUCGAGUCCGGAAGAGGAGUGUGGAAUUCCUGGUGUAGCGGUGAAAUGCGUAGAUAUCGGAAGGAACAUCAGUGGCGAAAGCGACUUCCUGGACCAAUACUGACGCUCAUGUGCGAAAGCGUGGGGAGCAAACAGG